Neofelis nebulosa (Clouded leopard) is the source of this 732-nucleotide long non-coding RNA. RefSeq lists it as uncharacterized. Lineage: Eukaryota; Metazoa; Chordata; Mammalia; Carnivora; Felidae. The transcript has 7 exons. The record is from RefSeq and is a predicted model, not a curated record.
CUUAUUGGCUGUGUGAUAUUUGGCAAGUUAUAUAGCCUAUCAGGCUUCAAGUUCAUUACUUACUCUUUAUUGAUAAUGUCUACUUCAUAGAGAAAUCCACCAUUAGCUCUUGAAAAUUUUUCCUUAACUAUGGUCUCUUGGAAAUAUUACCUUUAUGACUGUAGCUAAGAAAACCAAAAAUAAUGAUGACUGAAUUUUCCUCUUUGCAAGUCAAUGGGUUCAAAAUAUUGAACCUGUACCUGAUGACAUCAGUGGACAUUUAGUCUUACAAGAUCCCCCAUACGGAAGCCAUAGUGAAAGCUGGAGCAAGGUGCUAUUGCAAAUAUGAAGGGUGACAUGAGGAUGUGGACUUCCCACUCAUGCAGCUUAUUCAUGUCCUCUGUUUGUGUUUUGUUCCAAGCCUGGAUAUUCUGCUUCUGAAUCUGUCCACCUCUGACUUGAUAUUCCAGCCCUUACAUGAGUGUCAACUAUAUGCUCCAUUCGUCAUCAGUAUCUUCAUCAGUAAUUACAUGCUGCAAUCAGUAUUUAUUCACUGACUUCCAAAAGAGACUAGGUAUAGGUGUUCUCUACAUUUUUAUGAGAAAUGAACAGCACUUUCAUUAUAGAAAAAAAAAGAGAAAAUGUUAAAAUUCGAAAUGAAGAAGUUAUCCAUGGAAUUCUUACAUUGCUAAAAGAGAGAAGGCAAGAGCAACGAGAUAAAAACAUAAAUAAAAACAAACACCAAGAGGUUGA